This 895-nucleotide ribosomal RNA is filed under the name uncultured archaeon. Its description in RNAcentral is "bacterial SSU rRNA". It matches the Rfam family "Archaeal small subunit ribosomal RNA", at positions 21 to 904 of the family's 1478-position model. The record is from RNAcentral.
CCCGACUGCUAUUUGGGUGAGAAUAAGCCAUGCGAGUUGAAUGGGAUACCUAAAGUUCCCAUAGCAAACUGCUCAGUAACACAUGAUCAACUUACCCUAUAGAGAAAAAUAACCUCGGGAAACUGAGGAUAAUGUUUCAUAAUUGAAUUGGCUUGGAAAAGUUUUUCAAUGAAAGGGAUAAAAAAAAUGGUUUUUAUCUGCUAUAGGAUAGGAUCGUGUUCGAUUAUGGUUGUUGGUGAGAUAAUGGCUCACCAAGCCGAUAAUCGAUAGGGGCCGUGAGAGCGGGAGCCCCGAGAUGGGUACUGAGACAACGACCCAGGCCUUACGAGGCGCAGCAGGCGCGGAACCUCCGCAAUACACGAAAGUGUGACGGGGUUACCCAAAGUGUUCAAUAGAACUGUGGUAGGUGAGUAAUGUCCCCUACUAGAAAGGAGAGGGCAAGGCUGGUGCCAGCCGCCGCGGUAAAACCAAGCUCUUCAAGUGGUCGGGAUAAUAUUGGGCUUAAAGUGUCCGUAGCCGGUUUAAUAAAUUCCUGGUAAAAUCGGGUAGCUUAACUAUCUGCAUGCUAGGAAUACUGCUAUACUAGAGGGCGGGAGAGGUCUGAGGUACUACAGGGGUAGGGGUGAAAUCUUAUAAUCCUUGUAGGACCACCAGUGGCGAAGGCGUCAGACUGGAACGCGCCUGACGGUGAGGGACGAAAGCCAGGGGAGCGAACCGGAUUAGAUACCCGGGUAGUCCUGGCCGUAAACGAUGCAUACUAGGUGAUGGUACGGCCAUAAGCCGUAUCAGUGCCGUAGGGAAACCGUUAAGUGUGCCGCCUGAGAAGUACGGUCGCAAGGCUAAAACUUAAAGGAAUUGGCGGGGGAGCACCACAAGGGAUGAAGCCUGCGGUUCA